UGAAAACAUGUUUUGAGUAAGAUAUAAAAUCUACACCAAUUAGUUAAGAAUCUUAACAUGCAGGACAAACCUCCUCAUGUCCAUUCUUAUUACUCGCCCAACAGACUUCCAACACCCCCAUACAAAUGAACCUUGCAGUAUUGACCCAUGUAUCUCGCAAAAACUAACAAUAGACGAGGAUCAUGAAUCAUCAAAAUUCAAGUACAAAGAACCAUAAUGCCCAUACUAAGUUGACAGCCACUAACCUUUAAAUUUUUUCCAGAUACAAUUAAACUCUAGAUCAGAUUUCACCUGUCAUUUGAAGCAUCCUACAUGAAGUCCAUUUGCUACUAUAUAUAUGUGAUUAAAAGAUGGGGGAAACGGGAAAGAGAUUAACAUCAAAGCACAUACAAAAGGGCUUCUGUUUAAACAAGUUCACUACCCCAUUCUCCAUUCUUGGAAACGUUGGAAAAGGAAGGAGGUUUUGGGUCCAAUAGCAUAACAUGUUGAUGCACUGUUGUACAGUAUGGGCACCAAUUCCAAAUGUCUGGGCAACAGACAAUGCAUGCUGCUUUCCAACGGUUAACAUAUCUACAAAGGAGAAAGUGCAGCAGCCACCUAGGACAAGUUAAAGGACAUACCAACUUGCAGACCCCAGACAGAUUCCUCUAAGGCAUAAAGGCGGGGUGAUUGAUGGAAUGGCAUCAAACAACUCACUUACCACCUAUCCUUGAAGAGCAUGAGUUCCAUGGCAACCUCUGGAAGUUAGCCAGUAUCAAUCCAAGAGCAGGGCUUCAUGGAUUGCUGGAUUUUGCCAUUGCGCAUCUCUACUGCCAAGAGGAUUGCUUAUAACCUUCCCAGCCACCCUCUGGCUCCUUCCUUUUCAAUAUGCCACUGCCCGGCACUUGAUACAUCCUUGACUGCUCCUCUGCAAUGGUCUGUGAACUGGCAAUGGACAAUUGCCUUGAUGCAAAAGCAGACGUCUCAUCUCUCCCUUCCAAGUCUGUGCCCAAAGGCCCAGCAUUGAGGUCUAGACCUUGCCUUCCCCAUUUCCUACUACUUUCAGAGCCAUUGAUAUUACUAAUAUCCUGGAGGCUAACAACAAAAGGACUUGGAUAAUGAGAUGGGACAGCAC
This 1114-nucleotide unclassified non-coding RNA is filed under the name Hevea brasiliensis (rubber tree). The record is from RNAcentral. Lineage: Eukaryota; Viridiplantae; Streptophyta; Magnoliopsida; Malpighiales; Euphorbiaceae.